UNGUAGGCGGCUGGUCGCGUCUGUCGUGAANUCCUCUGGCUUAACUGGGGGCUUGCGGUGGGUACGGNCCGGCUUGAGUGCGGUAGGGGAGGCUGGAACUCCUGGUGUAGCGGUGGAAUGCGCAGAUAUCAGGAAGAACACCGGUGGCGAAGGCGGGUCUCUGGGCCGUUACUGACGCUGAGGAGCGAAAGCGUGGGGAGCGAACAGGAUUAGAUACCCUGGUAGUCCACGCCGUAAACGUUGGGCACUAGGUGUGGGGGGCCUUUUCCGGGUUUUCCGCGCCGUAGCUAACGCAUUAAGUGCCCCGCCUGGGGAGUACGGCCGCAAGGCUAAAACUCAAAGGAAUUGACGGGGGCCCGCACAAGCGGCGGAGCAUGCGGAUUAAUUCGAUGCAACGCGAAGAACCUUACCAAGGCUUGACAUGUGCCGGUCGGCUCCGGAGACGGGGUUUCCUCCUUGUGGGGCCAGUACACGGGUGGUGCAUGGUUGUCGUCAGCUCGUGUCGUGAGAUGUUGGGUUAAGUCCCGCAACGAGCGCAACCCUUGUCUCGUGUUGCCAGCACGUUGUGGUGGGGACUCGCGGGAGACUGCCGGGGUCAACUCGGAGGAAGGUGGGGAUGACGUCAAAUCAUCAUGCCCCUUAUGUCUUGGGCUUCACGCAUGCUACAAUGGCCGGUACAGAGGGCUGCGAUACUGUGAGGUGGAGCGAAUCCCUUAAAGCCGGUCUCAGUUCGGAUCGGUGUC
Molecule: ribosomal RNA, 743 nt
Filed under: uncultured bacterium
Lineage: Bacteria
Description: bacterial SSU rRNA
Rfam family: Bacterial small subunit ribosomal RNA
Source: RNAcentral